GACGAACGCUGGCGGCGUGCCUAAUACAUGCAGGCUGAGCGCUGAAGGUUGGUACUUGUACCGACUGGAUGAGCAGCGAACGGGUGAGUAACGCGUGGGGAAUCUGCCUUUGAGCGGGGGACAACAUUUGGAAACGAAUGCUAAUACCGCAUAACAACUUUAAACACAAGUUUUAAGUUUGAAAGAUGCAAUUGCAUCACUCAAAGAUGAUCCCGCGUUGUAUUAGCUAGUUGGUGAGGUAAAGGCUCACCAAGGCGAUGAUACAUAGCCGACCUGAGAGGGUGAUCGGCCACAUUGGGACUGAGACACGGCCCAAACUCCUACGGGAGGCAGCAGUAGGGAAUCUUUGGCAAUGGACGAAAGUCUGACCGAGCAACGCCGCGUGAGUGAAGAAGGUUUUCGGAUCGUAAAACUCUGUUGGUAGAGAAGAACGUUGGUGAGAGUGGAAAGCUCAUCAAGUGACGGUAACUACCCAGAAAGGGACGGCUAACUACGUGCCAGCAGCCGCGGUAA
This 513-nucleotide ribosomal RNA is filed under the name uncultured bacterium. RNAcentral's name for it is "partial 16S ribosomal RNA". It matches the Rfam family "Bacterial small subunit ribosomal RNA", at positions 28 to 523 of the family's 1533-position model. The record is from RNAcentral.